CACACCCUGCGGUGGUGGCUUACCUGUUGCGGUGCGCGUCUGCAGUACAGCGGAGAGCAGCGCUGAGGAGAUGAUGGAGAGCAGCCACCGCGGGCGCUGGCCCUGCGCGGUCCUCCUGAAAGAAGUGAUAGCAGAGAAGCACAGAUGACAGUCCGCAACAAGCCUGGCCAGCCCAGUUCUGUGUUGCCUGCCUUUCAACAGAUGGGCUUGCCUGCGCUUCAGCUUAUCAGUCCGGAGUGUGCGUGGAUAACGCAGAAGACUCCUUUACAACUCUCUCAGCAAAGCCCUGUGUACACACCUGCUGAUCCAGCUGCCGUGGAUGCCACUAUCCUGCCAAGCUCAGAACAAGCUGCUGUUGUAUGCCACAGUCCAUUUGGCUCUCGCGGGCGCCCAGCACACCUUUGCCUUUCAAGUCCUGGUGGUGCCUCUGGUGUCGUUAGUACUUCCUGGGGUCUAGGUCACUUCCGCAUCGCUAUCUCAAAGUGGGAAAAGCAGUCCCCAGAGCACCUACUUGACUUUCCCUGCAGAAGUCAAGUUGCUGAUUGAUGCAAAGGCUCUUCCGGAAGCUCGUGUGCACGUGAGCGAUGUGAAAUGUGGAGUACCCAGUGAGGCACUUGAGAUUAGGGUCCAAAGGUCCAAAAACGCAGGCAAACUGUGGGAACAGGCAGAAAGACUUCCCAAGUCAUCUACUGCCUUACACCAGGGCCCCUUCUUCAGCUCACAUCUAUGGCUUCAUGGGUGGUCUCCUGCCAUCAGUAAUCAAGAGACAUGGGGAGCCGAGCUGUGUCAUAGAUAAUUCAGGGUGCUGUGCGGGAGCUCCUGGGGUGCAGACGUAUAGUCUUGCAUCUCCCAACGUAAGACCCCAAAGGACGAAAGUGAAGAGAAUCCUCCCCUCUAGUUACGGCCUUACGUUGUGCCCCUGGCCCACUUCUCUGAGAGAGGGAGGAGUGGUCUCAGAGGCACAAAGAGGCCUGAAAAGUUGGUGCAGGUCUUGGAUGGUGGUCAGCAGUCUGAAAGGCACGGUUGAUUCCAAGCAGGAAGAUCCAGGAAGGGCCAAGGAGAUACUAGCAGCUCAAGUACCUGAUGUGCAAGCGUGAGGACCUGAGUUCAGAAACCACAUAAAAGCCCUGUGUGGGGCGAGCACCUGUAACUCCAGCACAGAGACCGGCAGCUCCUGGGGCUUGCUGGCCAGCCAGACUACAUGAAAUAACAAGUGAUGAGAUCUACGCUCGGCAAGAGACCCUGUCUCUCUGAAAAUAAAUAAGGCUGAGAGUGAUAGGGAAAGCCCCCCCACAGUUGAUCUCUGGUCUCCACAGGGACAAGCUCUCAUGCAGUCACCGCCAACCCCCCCCCCCCCAUCACACACAUGAGAAAAGGCAGCGCAGAGGAACGUGGACUGCCCUGCACAAGCCCAAAGCCUGUGCCUCUCCCACUGCUCACCGGGGACUGUCCACCCCAGAGAAGACUGCAAGCAGCCUCCUGUGAAGGGCAGCCAGUCUUCUUGUCAGACAGCGUGGACUCUUCCCCCUCUAAAGUAGAUCUAGUCACUGACCAUGCUGGCCAUCUAAGCCGCCAGCUACCAAUGCCCACACUGAGGUCUCCAUAUGACACCCCUCAGAAAGACCAGUCGCCAACCUGGUAACAGACAGACCGAGUGAGCCUUUCUCCCCAGCACCAAGACAGCUGGCGUUGGUUGCCUGGCCUGGAUGAGUGCCUUUGCCAGCUCUGCCGCAUCCCCUAACACACAAUGCUUGCCUCAUCUAUCUUGUGCCCACAGGGUGUUGUUCAAAUGAAAAGACCCAUUUUAUGGCAGAAGAAGAGUGACAGGGAAUGAACAGCCAUUCAAGGAACAGCUGGGCAUUGUUGUGGUAGAAAUGCCUGUUAAAGGAUCAGUGAGGGCACCAGCCUAGGGACAGCCUGGAGAGGUGCUCACCUCGUGGAACUCACCUGCAGAGUGUGGCAGACAUAGUCACUGACUGGCCAACAUAGUGACUGUGUCUCCAGAACUUAUGAUACAGAUGUCCCAUAGUAUCCACAGAUAAUUGGGCCUCCUGAAACUCAAUCCAAAAGUGCUCAAGCUUCUCAGAUAAAAUGCAGCAAUAUUUGCUUAUCUGUGUAACCCUCCCAUAUAUUUUAUUUAUUUUUAAA
Molecule: long non-coding RNA, 2148 nt
Organism: Mesocricetus auratus (golden hamster)
Lineage: Eukaryota; Metazoa; Chordata; Mammalia; Rodentia; Cricetidae
Exons: 3
Source: RefSeq, a predicted model, not a curated record